UAGGGAAUAUUGGUCAAUGGGCGCAAGCCUGAACCAGCCAUGCCGCGUGCAGGAAGACGGCCCUAUGGGUUGUAAACUGCUUUUAUCAGGGAAUAAACCCCCGCUCGUGAGCGGGGCUGAAGGUACCUGAAGAAUAAGCAUCGGCUAACUCCGUGCCAGCAGCCGCGGUAAUACGGAGGAUGCAGGCGUUAUCCGGAUUCAUUGGGUUUAAAGGGUGCGCAGGCGGAUUGGUAAGUCAGGGGUGAAAUCCCACAGCUCAACUGUGGAACUGCCUUUGAUACUGUCAGUCUAGAGUAUAGUUGAAGUGGGCGGAAUGUGUCAUGUAGCGGUGAAAUGCUUAGAUAUGACACAGAACACCGAUCGCGAAGGCAGCUCGCUAAGCUAUAACUGACGCUCAUGCACGAAAGCGUGGGGAUCAAACAG
This 423-nucleotide ribosomal RNA is filed under the name uncultured bacterium. RNAcentral describes it as "bacterial SSU rRNA". It matches the Rfam family "Bacterial small subunit ribosomal RNA", at positions 355 to 775 of the family's 1533-position model. The record is from RNAcentral.